UACGUAGGUGGCAAGCGUUGUCCGGAUUUACUGGGCGUAAAGAGCGCGCAGGCGGUCGUGCAAGUCGCGUGUGAAAGCCCCCGGCUCAACUGGGGAGGGUCACGCGAUACUGCUCGACUCGAAGGCAGGAGAGGGAAGUGGAAUUCCCGGUGUAGUGGUGAAAUGCGUAGAUAUCCGGAGGAACACCGGUGGCGAAGGCGGCUUCCUGGACCGAUCACUGACGCUGAGGCGCGAAAGCUAGGGGAGCAAACGGG
RNAcentral lists this ribosomal RNA (254 nucleotides) under uncultured bacterium. RNAcentral's name for it is "partial 16S ribosomal RNA". It matches the Rfam family "Bacterial small subunit ribosomal RNA", at positions 524 to 776 of the family's 1533-position model. The record is from RNAcentral.